RNAcentral lists this ribosomal RNA (504 nucleotides) under uncultured bacterium. RNAcentral's name for it is "partial 16S ribosomal RNA". It matches the Rfam family "Bacterial small subunit ribosomal RNA", at positions 30 to 523 of the family's 1533-position model. The record is from RNAcentral.
AUUGAACGCUGGCGGCAGGCCUAACACAUGCAAGUCGAACGGUAGCACAGAGAGCUUGCUCUUGGGUGACGAGUGGCGGACGGGUGAGUAAUGUCUGGGAAACUGCCCGAUGGAGGGGGAUAACUACUGGAAACGGUAGCUAAUACCGCAUAACGUCUUCGGACCAAAGUGGGGGACCUUCGGGCCUCACACCAUCGGAUGUGCCCAGAUGGGAUUAGCUAGUAGGUGGGGUAACGGCUCACCUAGGCGACGAUCCCUAGCUGGUCUGAGAGGAUGACCAGCCACACUGAAACUGAGACACGGUCCGGACUCCUACGGGAGGCAGCAGUGGGGAAUAUUGCACAAUGGGCGCAAGCCUGAUGCAGCCAUGCCGCGUGUAUGAAGAAGGCCUUCGGGUUGUAAAGUACUUUCAGUGGGGAGGAAGGCGAUGGAGUUAAUAGCUUCGUCGAUUGACGUUACCCGCAGAAGAAGCACCGGCUAACUCCGUGCCAGCCGCCGCAGUAA